RNAcentral lists this long non-coding RNA (1042 nucleotides) under Rhopalosiphum maidis (corn leaf aphid). RNAcentral's name for it is "uncharacterized LOC113559080". Lineage: Eukaryota; Metazoa; Arthropoda; Insecta; Hemiptera; Aphididae. The record is from RNAcentral.
UUUAGCCUAUCGAUACACUUCUACAUUAGUGAAAAGUAGUUACCUCGACGUGAUAUACUGCGCACUACCACACACCUAGGAGAGACAGCACCGCACCGCCCACCCAUAACCACAUUCCACACCGAAUGACGCGUCACUUUGUGUAAGGCCUAUGCAUAGCGCGGACUAAGAUAUACUAUAAUAUUCGUAUAUCUAGUCCGUGCUACAUAAUAAGAUUUCCAACAUUUUAAAAUCAACGUUAACGAACAACAAAACAAUACGUCUUAUAAAAAAUUGUAGCUCAGGGAAUUAUUUGAGUUGUGGACAAUAUCCAAAUUCCGGCAAUCGAGGUUUUGUUAAUCCUUAACGACGGAUUAAUUGUCCGUACAACAGUACCAUAGAAGUGCGGGAUAAUAAAGGUAUUCAACAUGACGGAAAGUGAGUAACAAAGACUGUUCACAAUAUCUGUAACGAAAUUGGAUGGACCCGCUCUUAUAGAACAGGAGCAAGUUUUUUCGAAGAAGCUUUUAAAUAUAGACCUAAGCAUAUAAUCAAUAAAAGUUUUGGACUGCACACUAUAUAUAUUGCUGAAAACGGUGCUUUCAUUGUUAAUAAGUCAAUCAAAGAAAAUUUGUGCUUAAUGAUUACAGCUAUUGAAAUGGCUGGAUACAAUGGAAAAGUUGUAAUAAGAAUCAAUAUUGCAGCAUCUGAUUUCUAUGUUAAUGAAAAAUACGAAGUCAUGCAAUAAUGUCAAAGUCAAAUCACUUCAACUGAAAAUGUAAUAAACUUUUGUCAAGAACUCAUUGAAAAAUGUCCAAUAGUUCUGAUAGAAGAUCUAUUUCACCAGGACCAUUAGAUACAUGCUUACAGAAGUUACUAGCAUUCAGACCAAGGAUAUUUGACUUAAACAUAAUGGUGCAAAAGCAAACAUGAUCCUCCCAAAGAGACUGGACAAAGUACACCUUAAGCGCCGCAUCAAGAAUACUACAGAAAUUGAAUUGGUAUCUUGUAUUUAAUUUAUUAAUACCCUAAAAUUAUAUUUUAAAAUCUACAAUGUCAAAGA